AACGAACGCUGGCGGCAGGCUUAACACAUGCAAGUCGAACGCCCCGCAAGGGGAGUGGCAGACGGGUGAGUAACGCGUGGGAACGUACCUUUCAGUUCGGAAUAACUCAGGGAAACUUGUGCUAAUACCGGAUACGCCCGCAAGGGGAAAGAUUUAUCGCUGAAAGAUCGGCCCGCGUUGGAUUAGCUAGUUGGUGGGGUAAAGGCCUACCAAGGCGACGAUCCAUAGCUGGUCUGAGAGGAUGAUCAGCCACACUGGGACUGAGACACGGCCCAGACUCCUACGGGAGGCAGCAGUGGGGAAUAUUGCGCAAUGGGGGAAACCCUGACGCAGCGACGCCGCGUGAGCGAAGAAGGCCUUCGGGUUGUAAAGCUCUGUUGUAAGGGACGAAGGAGCGUGGGUAGUAACUGACCUGGCGGUGACGGUACCUUACCAGCAAAGCCCCGGCUAACUACGUG
Molecule: ribosomal RNA, 458 nt
Filed under: uncultured bacterium
Lineage: Bacteria
Description: bacterial SSU rRNA
Rfam family: Bacterial small subunit ribosomal RNA
Source: RNAcentral